Molecule: small RNA, 95 nt
Filed under: Winogradskyella sp. J14-2
Lineage: Bacteria; Pseudomonadati; Bacteroidota; Flavobacteriia; Flavobacteriales; Flavobacteriaceae
Description: Flavo-1 RNA
Rfam family: Flavo-1 RNA
Source: Rfam by way of RNAcentral
CCCUAGCCCAGAUUGAAGCGCCAUCCUUUUUAUUUGGUGGCUGAGCGUAGUCGAAGUCAGCAAAUAAAAAGAUAUAGCGGAAAGCUGGAAAUAGC